CUCGACUAUAGACAGACUCAGGUUGAAGCACAAGUUCAAUUUAUGCAGCAGAAUACUCGGGAUGUUACGAUGAAAACUCAAGAAAUGAUACAACACAAUAUAGCGGCAUUAAACUACUGGACAAAUCAAAGUCACUACCCAGAGAAACAACUAAUCGUAAAAUCCUUGAAACCCUAAUGGCAGCGGCUCCGAAUUCCUCGGAGACCAUGGAGACAACCAUGCUCGACGUGACCGACGUCCUCCUUGCCUCCCGACCACCGGACCCGGACGACAAUUCCCCGGGGCAGGAUAGCCACGCUUCUUGGGUUACUGCGACGGUGCUGUCGAUCCCUCGCAAAUGAGCUCGGUCUCUUAAUAGCGAGCUCCCUCCCGUCGACAGCGACGUGGGGCUUCGACCAAGUUCGGGAUCUUUGACCCCCUCUCAUGAAGCAGAAAAACCUGCCUCCGCAUUAGGGUCCACUCCCCCGACUUCGCAGCAGGCAUAGAGAACGGAUACAACACGGUAGGCUUUGCAGAACCCUAAGGGCGCGUCUCAGUCUAGUCCUCCACACUCUCCUCCAAGCUCUUUCAAGGAUGCCAUGAUUGGCUCCCCUUGGUUGCUGCCGAGUGAUACAGAGGAAGUCCUGGGGAGAAAGGGAGAAUGUUUUGGGAUUUCUUGAUGAUUAUUCGGAAUAGUCGAUUCUUAGGAAUUAACCAUUCCGCAAUCAUCAUGGAGAAAAUAUUUUUAAGGUCUUUACGAUUUUUAUGGUUUCUUUGGGUAAUAUAGUAGGCCUAGAUUAAUUAAAAGUUAAGUUCUAAAACAAGGCGAAUGCGGGAUUCAAAACCUACACUUACGGGUUAUUAAGCUAAAUGUUUAUCGUUUGGCUGAAUGUGAUUUAUUGAUUGAAACUCUGGUCUGGGCAAUAUUUUCUUGGACAAGCCACGACAGACAUGAAAUCGUCCACCAAGCCCGCCUUGCUGGCCCGAGUUGCGCGCCCAACUCAGGGCAGACCAGACCCAACCCAGUCCGACUACACGAGUUGAACCUAGAGGCCACCACCUAAUUCACGACUGCCACCACCUCCAUUCGAACCUUAUCUCUUCAUCUUCACUCCUCUCACAGCCUCUUCUUUCUGUCUCCUCCUCCCCUUCGUUUAAUCUUCUCCGUUGAGCACAGAGACAUCGAUGUGAUGACGAUUUAUCCAAGAGCCGACUUCAAGAAGAGUGACGAUCCCUUCUAUGAUUCUUUUCCUGCAACAAUUAGGUAAUGAUUCAAUUAAGGCGAUCAAAUGAUAUCGAAUCAGACAUUAGGUUUUAGAAAGACGGAACAAUCUAGAGUUCUUCCUAAGAGACCUAUCAAUCUAUGUUCCUCUCAGACCCACAAAUCAAUGACGAUGAUUCAAUUAAGGAGAUCAAACGAAAUUGAAUCUGAAAUCAGGUUUAGAAAGAACACACCAUAAGUCUGAAUAACCUCGAUAACAAAUCAAAGGAUUAAAACCCCAUCAUCCAUACAAAAGCUAAACUAAAGGUUCAUCUCAUCCAAACAACAUGAAAGGUUCCAAGAAAGCUAGAAGAAAGGAAAAUAACCCGGGAAGAAAACAUGUUUCGCCGAGAAAUCUCCGUCUUGUCGCCGAUCUUUGACCCGUCUCUAAUCGUUGAUGCUCUGUAACUUCAAUCGAUCUCUGGAAUUGUAUCUCUCUCAAAUAUCCAAUCUCUAUCUAGAAUAAGGUAUAUCUCGUCAAAAGGGUUGCUCGGGCUAUUUAUAUCGUCUGUUUCGAAUUGGAGAAGGAAAGGUCUGAAAAAUCCGUCUGAAGAUGAGACACGGUGUGUCGUAGGAGGACACGUCGUGUUCCUUAAGGACAUAGAUAUAUUCUCAGACAAUGCACUUCUCGACCGUAACUUCCAGAGAAAAGGACAUGAUCU
Molecule: long non-coding RNA, 1902 nt
Filed under: Linum usitatissimum (flax)
Lineage: Eukaryota; Viridiplantae; Streptophyta; Magnoliopsida; Malpighiales; Linaceae
Description: long non-coding RNA (LUSI_LNC006621)
Source: RNAcentral